CCCAAACUUACCCCUAGAUUCGGUAGGAGGGAGUUGGAUUUCUUUGGUUAAGGGGGAAGCCAUGAUUUUGGAAGAUAUCCCAUGGGCAAAGCGGCCUUCCGGAUUCUUCCCGCCCCCUGAGGUCCAAAGCCGGGUAGGGAACAGGAUUAGAUAACCUGGUAGUCCCGCCGUAAACGAUGACAACUAGCUGUUGGAGACAAUGUCUUUCAGGGGCGCAGUAACGUUUAAGUUGUUCGGCCUGGGGAGUACGGCCGCAAGGUUAAACUCCAAUGAAUUGACGGGACCCGCACAAGCGGUGGAGCAUGUGGUUUAAUUCGAUGCAACGCGAAAAACCUUACCUACUCUUGACAUACUUGAAGCUCUUGUAAUGAGAGUGUGCCUUUUGGAAUCAAGAUACAGGUGCUGCAUGGCUGUCGUCAGCUCGUGUCGUGAGAUGUUCCGUUAAGUCGGAUAACGAGCGCAACCCUUACCCUUAUUUGCCAGCGAUUCGGUCGGGAACUAUAAGGGGACUGCCGGUGAUAAACCGGAGGAAGGUGAGGACGACGUCAAGUCAUCAUGGCCCUUACGAGUAGGGCUACACACGUGCUACAAUGGGGAAUACAGACGGACGCUAAGCCGCGAGGUGGUGCUAAUCCUAGAAAAUUCUUCGUAGUCCGGAUUGGAGUCUGCAACUCGACUCCAUGAAGUCGGAAUCGCUAGUAAUCGCGAAUCAGCAUGUCGCGGUGAAUACGUUCUCGGGUCUUGUACACACCGCCCGUCACACCAUGGAAGUGGAUUGCACCAGAAGUAGAUAGUCUAACCUUCGGGAGGGCGUUUACCACGGUGUGCUUCAUGACUGGGGUGAAGUCGUAACAAGGUAA
Molecule: ribosomal RNA, 860 nt
Filed under: uncultured bacterium
Lineage: Bacteria
Description: bacterial SSU rRNA
Rfam family: Bacterial small subunit ribosomal RNA
Source: RNAcentral